This 365-nucleotide long non-coding RNA is filed under the name Lathyrus oleraceus (garden pea). RNAcentral describes it as "Pisum sativum (pea) long non-coding RNA (PSAT_LNC001621)". Lineage: Eukaryota; Viridiplantae; Streptophyta; Magnoliopsida; Fabales; Fabaceae. The record is from RNAcentral.
AGAAUGACUUAAAACAAAAAGCAAAAGCAAUACUAACUUCUAACUCAUUAACAACUAACAUUUACUUUCAUGUUAUUUACUUUAAUGCACUUUAUUUUUUAAGCCUUAUUCAUUUGCCAUUGUUCAUACCAUUCUAAUUAUUUAUGUUAAUGUCAUUUUCACUUUGUCCAUUUGGACCAUAUUUUGUGAUAUAUUUUGCUUGUGUAUAUUGUGUGUUUUUGUAUGGUCUUUGGCCAUUAAUGUACAUAAUAAGAAUAAAAACCCUAAAAAACAUCUUGUGUGGACUGUUGGUUUGAUCUGAGACAAUUGGACUUAGAAUUUAGGCAACACUCCCUAUGCAAAGGACUUGGCCAAUGCCAACUUUC